AAGGGUCCCGGGAACGUGGUGGGGCAGGGCCCCCGAGCGUGGUUGGACUUUGAAGGGGAGCGGCCGCCAUGCUGCAUCCCCUUUUUGGAAUUGCUCAACCGGGUGGUAACCGGCGCCGCUUCCUGGCCUCGGGAGGUGGUUCCUUUCUUAACCCACAAGAACCUCUCCCAAGAGAACUUGGUCCUGAUGUCUGACCAUGGAGAUGUGAGCCUCCCGCCCGAAGACCGGGUGAGGGCUCUCUCCCAGCUGGGUAGUGCGGUAGAGGUGAAUGAAGACAUUCCACCCCGUCGGUACUUCCGCUCUGGAGUUGAGAUUAUCCGAAUGGCAUCCAUUUACUCUGAGGAAGGCAACAUUGAACAUGCCUUCAUCCUCUAUAACAAGUAUAUCACGCUCUUUAUUGAGAAACUACCAAAGCAUCGAGAUUACAAUCUGCUGUCAUUCCUGAAAAGAAAGAUACAGUAAAGAAAUUAAAGGAGAUUGCAUUUCCCAAAGCAGAAGAGCUGAAGGCAGAGCUGUUAAAACGAUAUACCAAAGAAUAUACAGAAUAUAAUGAAGAAAAGAAGAAGGAAGCAGAGGAAUUGGCCCGGAACAUGGCCAUCCAGCAAGAGCUGGAAAAGGAAAAACAGAGGGUAGCACAACAGAAGCAGCAGCAAUUGGAACAGGAACAGUUCCAUGCCUUCGAGGAGAUGAUCCGGAACCAGGAGCUAGAAAAAGAGCGACUGAAAAUUGUACAGGAGUUUGGGAAGGUGGACCCUGGCCUAGGUGGCCCGCUAGUGGCCUGACUUGGAGAAGCCCUCCUUAGAUGUGUUCCCCACCUCACCAGUCUCAUCCAUACAGCCUUCAGACUGUCACACAACUGUAAGGCCAGCUAAGCCACCUGUGGUGGACAGGUCCUUGAAACCUGGAGCACUGAGCAACUCAGAAAGUAUUCCCACAAUCGAUGGAUUGCGCCAUGUGGUGGUGCCUGGGCGGCUGUGCCCACAGUUUCUCCAGUUAGCCAGUGCCAACACUGCCCGGGAGUGGAGACAUGUGGAAUUCUCUGUGGAAAACUGAUGAGGAAUGAAUUUACCAUUACCCAUGUUCUCAUCCCAAGCAAAGUGCUGGGUCUGAUUACUGCAACACAGAGAAUGAAGAAGAACUUUCCUCAUACAAGAUCAGCAGGGCCCUCAUCACACUGGGCUGGAUUCAUGUAAGCAAUUCUGAGCUGUCUGAGAAUGGCCGCUGUGUCGUUCGCUCCUCAUUGGUCGGAUUUUCCGCAGGUGCCGAUUCUAGCCCACCUACUAGCUCUCCAUUCCAAGUCCUAAAUCAUUGGAAUGUAAUAGACAGACCAGCGGGAGUGGGCGGAGCGGGCGCCGGAUGUGACGUUUCCGGAACCUCCGAGUGUCAUCCGCGGGGAAAGGUGGGGAAGGGUCCCGGGAACGUGGUGGGGCAGGGCCCCCGAGCGUGGUUGGACUUUGAAGGGGAGCGGCCGCCGUGA
Nomascus leucogenys (northern white-cheeked gibbon) is the source of this 1477-nucleotide RNA transcript. It is a transcript of the gene named STAM-binding protein-like, with no coding region annotated. The transcript has 9 exons. The record is from RefSeq and is a predicted model, not a curated record. NCBI's taxonomy places the organism in Eukaryota, Metazoa, Chordata, Mammalia, Primates, Hylobatidae.